This 242-nucleotide ribosomal RNA is filed under the name uncultured bacterium. Its description in RNAcentral is "partial 16S ribosomal RNA". It matches the Rfam family "Bacterial small subunit ribosomal RNA", at positions 118 to 348 of the family's 1533-position model. The record is from RNAcentral.
UGGGUAACCUGCCUCAAAGAGGGGAAUAGCCUCCCGAAAGGGAGAUUAAUACCGCAUAAUAUGUUUAAGUCGCAUGACUUUAACAUCAAAGGAUUUUCUUUUAGAAAUUCCACUUUGAGAUGGACCCGCGGUGCAUUAGCUAGUUGGUGAGGUAACGGCUCACCAAGGCAACGAUGCGUAGCCGACCUGAGAGGGUGAUCGGCCACAUUGGAACUGAGACACGGUCCAGCUCCGUAGGGAGG